RNAcentral lists this ribosomal RNA (253 nucleotides) under uncultured bacterium. Its description in RNAcentral is "partial 16S ribosomal RNA". It matches the Rfam family "Bacterial small subunit ribosomal RNA", at positions 524 to 776 of the family's 1533-position model. The record is from RNAcentral.
UACGAAGGGGGCUAGCGUUAAUCGGAAUUACUGGGCGUAAAGCGUACGCAGGCGGCUUUGCAAGACAGGUGUGAAAUCCCCGGGCCUAACCUGGGAACUGCAUUUGUGACUGCAUCGCUAGAGUCUGUCAGAGGGGGGUGGAAUUCCACGUGUAGCAGUGAAAUGCGUAGAGAUGUGGAAGAACACCGAUGGCGAAGGCAGCCCCCUGGGAUGAGACUGACGCUCAUGUACGAAAGCGUGGGGAGCAAACAGG